CCCCGCGNUGGCGGCGUGCUUACACAUGCAAGUCGAACGAAGCAAUUUUCUACGAUCCCUUCGGGGUGACGGAUUAUUGACUGAGUGGCGGACGGGUGAGUAACGCGUGGGUAACCUACCUUGUACAGGGGGACAACAGUUGGAAACGACUGCUAAUACCGCAUAAGCGCACAGCAUCGCAUGAUGCAGUGUGAAAAGUUUUUUCGGUACAAGAUGGACCCGCGUCUGAUUAGCUAGUUGGUGAGGUAACGGCCCACCAAGGUCGACGAUCAGUAGCCGACCUGAGAGGGUGACCGGCCACAUUGGGACUGAGACACGGCCCAAACUCCUACGGGAGGCAGCAGUGGGGAAUAUUGCACAAUGGGCGAAAGCCUGAUGCAGCGACGCCGCGUGAGCGAAGAAGUAUUUCGGUAUGUAAAGCUCUAUCAGCNGGGAAGAUAAUGACG
Molecule: ribosomal RNA, 446 nt
Filed under: Butyrivibrio fibrisolvens
Lineage: Bacteria; Bacillati; Bacillota; Clostridia; Lachnospirales; Lachnospiraceae
Description: bacterial SSU rRNA
Rfam family: Bacterial small subunit ribosomal RNA
Source: RNAcentral